AGCUUCAAAAAACGCUAAUGGAGGAUGAGAGGAAGAAGCUUGUACGAUGAAGAAGGAGACAUGUGGGUCAGGAGAAAUCUGAUUGGUUAAGGUUGUUUUGUGGGCCAUAUAGGUUGUUGAAUUAUGGUUGGUUUAUUUAAUUGGAGAAUAAAUGAAAGGCUAGUUUGGGGAGUGCAAGGAUAAAAGGGUAGGAAGAAUAGAGAAGGGGCAGUAAGAAUUCAUUUAAGGGGGUAUGGGGCAUAUGGAGUUAAUCUCCUAAAUGAAGAAAACUGUUCACUCAAAAACCCUAAUUUAAACACAUAAAGUAAUGAAUUAAGUCAUAUUUGUCUACUAGGUAUAUACCUAUGCUUUGAGUUUGGAAAUUAUAAAAUGAAUUAAUGGGCUUUAUUGGGUCUAAAGGGGCUUUACAUUUUUAACAGGAGGAGGAGGGAGGACCGUCCGAUUGAAAAUACUUAAGAGGACGAAGACAAAUCGUGACCGUCCGAUUGAACAUAUAUCCGUUACGGUUUAAAGAUCCAACAAUACACAUACCAAAGGGAUUUUUAAGGUUUUCUCCCCAAAUGUCUUGGACGACGACGACUCAUACAACAGGUUUCUUUCCCGACUCCACAUGAAACCAACCACCGUCGUCGAGGCACGUCUUUGUCUACAACAAAUCUUUGCGGGCUACUUGAUGUAAAGCGAACAAAGUAGAUCAACAAUGGGUUCCAUUACAUGAUCCACAGCUCCGAACAGAGUCACUGAAGCUCUACUAUCGCCUGAAAUCAGUGUUGUGCUAGAUUCUUAUUUGGGGACAUUGUCCCGUCGGUUGGUAGUGCAUGCGAUGCGAUGUUUGGGGAUGAAACCCACGGCUUAUUAAGAAAAUGACCAGCGGCUUAAAAAAAAUAAGGCAAAGACUCUUGUGACCAAGUCUUUAAGCAAAAGGUUACAGAUAUGUUCAUGUUGGAUGGAUAAAACGAACAACAAUGAACAACAACAUGUCUUUAGACAAAAGGCCAUGAGAUUGUUGGAAUGGAAAAAAGCGAUAAAAAAAGGGCUUAAAAAGAGGUCUUUGAUGAGACAAUGAUUGUGAUACCCACGGCUUAGAAAAAUUCAUAAGACAAUGUCUGAAUUGGUCUUAUUUGUCCCGUCGGUUGGUAGUGCAUGCGUUUGGGGAUGGAUAGUACCCACGGCUUAUUACGAAAGCGACCAACAACUUGAAAAUAAAGACUGUAAAUUUGUUGGAUGGACUAAACGACCUACGGUUUACAAUAAAGUCUCUGUAAACAAA
Long non-coding RNA from Brassica napus (rape), 1270 nucleotides. RefSeq lists it as uncharacterized. The transcript has 4 exons. The record is from RefSeq and is a predicted model, not a curated record. NCBI's taxonomy places the organism in Eukaryota, Viridiplantae, Streptophyta, Magnoliopsida, Brassicales, Brassicaceae.